Nelumbo nucifera (sacred lotus) is the source of this 1266-nucleotide long non-coding RNA. RefSeq lists it as uncharacterized. NCBI's taxonomy places the organism in Eukaryota, Viridiplantae, Streptophyta, Magnoliopsida, Proteales, Nelumbonaceae. The record is from RefSeq and is a predicted model, not a curated record.
UCCUAAGCUCCAUAUCUUAGGCAGCAAAAAAUAGUUUCAAGAGCAUAGGAACCGAAAAUGUAAGUAAACCCUCCAUUAUCUUGUAAUUCAUUCUUACAUCAAUGGAUCAACGAUAAAUCGGAAUGAUCGGUUAGAUUUUCUUCAAAAACCGUUGAUUUUGAUCAGCAAACUGUUGAUCCGGACAAUUAACUCGACUUGACAGUACGGUCGCGGAGGUAUGGAUCGAGCACCUCCCGGCAUACCAUACCAAUGUACUCGUGGGGUUUUAGGGUUUGACCGAUGUCGACGACCACAUCGGAUGGGGAGAUCAUCUUCAUCUUAGUGACCCAACGGUCGAUAAUGUCAAGCGGGAGGUCGAACUCUCCGAUCAUGCAGAGCGGAAUAUCACCGCCGAAUGGCUUGCAGUUGUCCAGCUUCCGUUCGAUGAGGUAAGUUUCAAUGCCGCCCUUCGCUAGCGCCUCAGCAGCCAAGCCACCUGUCGGGCCUCCCCCAAUAACGGCUACUCAGAGGUUGCGACCAGAGAGUUUGGGGCUGGAUUUGCUAGCUAAGAUACGGAAUCUGCGGGGAUUUGGUUUGGAUGAGAGAAAUUUAGUUAGGGAGAGGGAAUGGUGAUUCUCUAAUGUAGUUUUCCGGAGGCCAACGAAGCUAUUAAGGGUAGCGCGUCGGAAAUGGGUGGUUUUCUGGUCACAAUUGGCGGUGGUGGUGGAAAAUGGGGAGUUGAUGGCAGUAGAGGACGCCAUCCUUGCUGGCCUCUGGCCUGGUAUCUGAAGUCUGAACUCUGAACAGAAAUUUGAAGAAAUACAAAGGGAGGAAGCUCUACAACUAUCACCAAAGCCUCCUCAGAAAAGAAGUUGGAGGGGCAGUAUAGUAGCACCUUUUACUGGGAACAAUAUGCUGGUAUUGUACAGCUGUCCGGCCAACAAUUCAAGCAAUUAUUUUGUACAAGUACUACAUAAUGAAGUUCUAGUUCCAAUGCCGGAUGAUCUCUCUAUUGAGGAGUGGAGGCUAGUUGUGAAACUCAAGAAUAUAUUCAGAAUGUCGGGGCAGCUAAUUCUAUGCUUUGUAAGCUCCAUAGUUCCUAUUCAAAAAGAAUAGUCGUGUUGGCGUAAAGAGGAGAGAGAAAACUGGCUUAUUUGUUAUUUUUUAUAUUUGUUUAAUGGUGGGAGUAACUGAAACACCAUUUGGUAGCAAGAAAUAGUUGUAUUUGCAUUGAUGGAAAUGCCAAACAUCCACAAAAUUGUUUUUUUAUUUGCGUCUUUCAAAACA